GCUGUGUUUGCCAGGGUCACCGUGAACCGUGGCCCGAUGCGGUUGAUCCACCGAUCGCUACAUCGUUGCACCUCGCUUCCUCCUUGCGAACCAGCACACGAUGAAAGUCGUGUCUCAACCAGCAAACGUUCCAAGGAGCAAGUAAAUGUCCCGCGAAAACGGUACCGUCAAGUGGUUCAACGAUGCCAAGGGCUUCGGCUUCAUCAGCCGUGAAAAUGGCGAGGAUGUGUUCGUGCACUUCCGCGCCAUCCAGACCCAGGGCUUCAAGAGCCUGAAGGAAGGCCAGAAAGUUUCGUUCACCGUCGUCCAGGGCCAGAAGGGCCUGCAGGCUGACGCCGUCGAACCGAUCUAAUUUGUCCCGGCGCGCGGGCAUACCGCGUAACAGGAUUUUUGAAACCCGGCCUGCGCCGGGUUUCUUUUU
Molecule: small RNA, 421 nt
Filed under: Lysobacter sp. Root494
Lineage: Bacteria; Pseudomonadati; Pseudomonadota; Gammaproteobacteria; Lysobacterales; Lysobacteraceae
Description: cspA thermoregulator
Rfam family: cspA thermoregulator
Source: Rfam by way of RNAcentral